This 401-nucleotide ribosomal RNA is filed under the name Verrucomicrobiota bacterium. RNAcentral's name for it is "Verrucomicrobia bacterium partial 16S ribosomal RNA". It matches the Rfam family "Bacterial small subunit ribosomal RNA", at positions 355 to 776 of the family's 1533-position model. The record is from RNAcentral. Lineage: Bacteria; Pseudomonadati; Verrucomicrobiota.
UGGGGAAUUUUGCACAAUGGGGGAAACCCUGAUGCAGCGACGCCGCGUGAUUUAGAAGGCCUUCGGGUUGUAAAAAUCUUUUCUAUGGGAAGAAAAUGACAGUACCAUAGGAAUAAGGACCGGCUAAUUACGUGCCAGCAGCCGCGGUAAUACGUAAGGUCCGAGCGUUGUCCGGAAUCAUUGGGCGUAAAGGGUACGUAGGCGGGUAAGCAAGUUAGAAGUGAAAUCCUGUAGCUCAACUACAGUAAGCUUUAAAACUGCUCAUCUUGAGAUAUGGAAGGGAAAGUGGAAUUCCUAGUGUAGCGGUGAAAUGCGCAGAUAUUAGGAGGAAUACCGGUGGCGAAGGCGACUUUCUGGCCAUAAUCUGACGCUGAGGUACGAAAGCGUGGGUAGCAAACAGG